AUUUAACGUAAUAAUAAUCACCUUAAAUCAACACGAGGAUGUAAUGAAAUAAAAUGACUCGCUCCCAGUUCAACACCAUUUCUAAUGAACAUUACUUGAAGAGGACUGUACGAAGUAAAAAAGAACUAUUUGAUAAAGAAAAUUAUCUGUAAAGAAAGUGUACAAUCAUUAUUCAGCAAAACAUGUUUGGCUAAUUUAUGGUAAUUAUUUUGUACAUAUAACUAUGGAUAGUGCAAAGUUAAAAACACUACAUUUUGACUGGUAAGAAUAGUAUAUGUAUCGAUACACAAUAGCCUUUAUUCUAAGGUGUUGAAAUCAUUAUGAUUGUUUUCAUUUCUACUUCCGUAGCUAAAAAAUAGUUGAGAAAUUAUAGGUGUGCAUCAUAGGAAAGAAGACAGUCCACGAUACGUGAUAUAUAUUUAGACAAAUGGCCUUUUUAGAACCUCUUCCAUUGACAUGACUGACCUUUCUUGUUUGUAUAACAGAUACUGUGGAUUAAAUAUAGAAUCUUUCAAGAGUAAGAUUACACUAUUGUUAUCACAAUUUACCCCUCCCACAAAUAAAUCCUGUGAAAAAUAAGAAGUAAUUGGAAAUAAUUAAAAUGCAAUGAUGUAA
Molecule: long non-coding RNA, 615 nt
Organism: Xenia sp. Carnegie-2017
Lineage: Eukaryota; Metazoa; Cnidaria; Anthozoa; Malacalcyonacea; Xeniidae
Exons: 2
Source: RefSeq, a predicted model, not a curated record